RNAcentral lists this unclassified non-coding RNA (21 nucleotides) under synthetic construct. The record is from RNAcentral.
GGGUCAUCAGGACGAUGACCC